GAUGAACGCUGGCGGCGUGCCUAAGACAUGCAAGUCGAGCGGUAAGGCCCUUCGGGGUACACGAGCGGCGAACGGCUGAGUAACGCGUGGGAAUCCACCCCAAAGUGAGGGAUAAGCACCGGAAACGGUGUCUAAUACCGCAUGUGGUCUUCGGAUUAAAGUUUUAUACGCUUUGGGAGGAGCCCGCGUCCGAUUAGGUUGUUGGUGAGGUAAUGGCUCACCAAGCCGACGAUCGGUAACUGGUCNGAGA
RNAcentral lists this ribosomal RNA (250 nucleotides) under uncultured bacterium. RNAcentral's name for it is "partial 16S ribosomal RNA". It matches the Rfam family "Bacterial small subunit ribosomal RNA", at positions 28 to 297 of the family's 1533-position model. The record is from RNAcentral.